AUUCCACAAGGAAUGCGAAUCUUACUCUGCUGGUGAUAACAAUCGAAAGAUUGACCAAAGAGUGCAUGAGAUAUAUUAUCUAUAGCCGUCAGAACGUAGAUAAUAACCUCGCAUGGAAGAUUAUCCAUAACCGGAUUGUAGGUUGUUAAAUGAAUAAUCGACCGACAUCAUCCUGAAGAGAGCAAAAGCAAACUUGUUAAAGGAUGAACAUCCGAUUCCACAGGGAAUACGAAUCUUACUCCGCUGGUGAUAACAAUCGAAAGAUUGACCAAAGAGUGCAUGAGAUAUAUUAUCUAUAGCCGUCAGAACGUAGAUAAUAACCUCGCAUGGAAGAUUAUCCAUAACCGG
RNAcentral lists this long non-coding RNA (348 nucleotides) under Lathyrus oleraceus (garden pea). Its description in RNAcentral is "Pisum sativum (pea) long non-coding RNA (PSAT_LNC024563)". The record is from RNAcentral. Lineage: Eukaryota; Viridiplantae; Streptophyta; Magnoliopsida; Fabales; Fabaceae.